This 118-nucleotide small RNA is filed under the name Marmota monax (woodchuck). The record is from RNAcentral. Lineage: Eukaryota; Metazoa; Chordata; Mammalia; Rodentia; Sciuridae.
GCCAAGCAUGGUGGCACAUGCCUGUAAUCCCAGCAACUUAGGAGGCUGAGGCUGGAGGAUCAUGCCAGCUUCAGCAACUUAACGAGGCUCUAAGCAACUCGGUGAGACCCGGUCUCUA